GACGAACGCUGGCGGCGUGCCUAACACAUGCAAGUCGAACGGAAAGGCCCUGCUUUUGUGGGGUGCUCGAGUGGCGAACGGGUGAGAAACACGUGAGUAACCUGCCCUUGACUUUGGGAUAACUUCAGGAAACUGGGGCUAAUACCGGAUAGGAGCUCCUGCUGCAUGGUGGGGGUUGGAAAGUUUCGGCGGUUGGGGAUGGACUCGCGGCUUAUCAGCUUGUUGGUGGGGUAGUGGCUUACCAAGGCUUUGACGGGUAGCCGGCCUGAGAGGGUGACCGGCCACAUUGGGACUGAGAUACGGCCCAGACUCCUACGGGAGGCAGCAGUGGGGAAUAUUGCACAAUGGGCGGAAGCCUGAUGCAGCAACGCCGCGUGCGGGAUGACGGCCUUCGGGUUGUAAACCGCUUUCGCCUGUGACGAAGCGUGAGUGACGGUAAUGGGUAAAGAAGCACCGGCUAACUACGUG
Molecule: ribosomal RNA, 468 nt
Filed under: uncultured bacterium
Lineage: Bacteria
Description: partial 16S ribosomal RNA
Rfam family: Bacterial small subunit ribosomal RNA
Source: RNAcentral